GACGGGGCCCGCACAAGCGGUGGAGCUAUGUGGUUUAAUUCGAAGCAACGCGAAGAACCUUACCAGGUCUUGACAUCCCCUGACAACCCGAGAGAUCGGGCGUUCCCCUUCGGGGGACAGGGUGACAGGUGGUGCAUGGUUGUCGUCAGCUCGUGUCGUGAGAUGUUGGGUUAAGUCCCGCAACGAGCGCAACCCUCGACCUUAGUUGCCAGCAUUCAGUUGGGCACUCUAAGGUGACUGCCGGCUAAAAGUCGGAGGAAGGUGGGGAUGACGUCAAAUCAUCAUGCCCCUUAUGACCUGGGCUACACACGUGCUACAAUGGUUGGUACAACGAGUUGCGAGUCGGUGACGGCGAGCUAAUCUCUUAAAGCCAAUCUCAGUUCGGAUUGUAGGCUGCAACUCGCCUACAUGAAGUCGGAAUCGCUAGUAAUCGCGGAUCAGCACGCCGCGGUGAAUACGUUCCCGGGCCUU
Molecule: ribosomal RNA, 471 nt
Filed under: uncultured Anoxybacillus sp.
Lineage: Bacteria; Bacillati; Bacillota; Bacilli; Caryophanales; Anoxybacillaceae
Description: bacterial SSU rRNA
Rfam family: Bacterial small subunit ribosomal RNA
Source: RNAcentral